This 500-nucleotide ribosomal RNA is filed under the name uncultured bacterium. RNAcentral's name for it is "partial 16S ribosomal RNA". It matches the Rfam family "Bacterial small subunit ribosomal RNA", at positions 30 to 523 of the family's 1533-position model. The record is from RNAcentral.
AUUGAACGCUGGCGGAAUGCUUUACACAUGCAAGUCGAACGGCAGCACGGACUUCGGUCUGGUGGCGAGUGGCGAACGGGUGAGUAAUGUAUCGGAACGUGCCCAGUCGUGGGGGAUAACGUAGUGAAAAUUACGCUAAUACCGCAUACGAUCUAUGGAUGAAAGCGGGGGAUCGCAAGACCUCGCGCGAUUGGAGCGGCCGAUAUCAGAUUAGGUAGUUGGUGGGGUAAAGGCCCACCAAGCCAACGAUCUGUAGCUGGUCCGAGAGGACGACCAGCCACACGGGAACUGAGACACGGUCCAGACUCCUAGGGGAGGCAGCAGUGGGGAAUUUUGGACAAUGGGCGAAAGCCUGAUCCAGCCAUUCCGCGUGCAGGAUGAAGGCCCUCGGGUUGUAAACUGCUUUUGUACAGAACGAAAAGGUUUCUACUAAUACUAGGAGCUCAUGACGGUACUGUAAGAAUAAGCACCGGCUAACUACGUGCCAGCCGCCGCAGUAA